GUGGGUUUGGUGCAGACUAUGUUAUGAUUUUGACUAGAACAAUCACUUCAUGGUAUGAAGGUUUGCUGCUUGUAGUAGUAGUAGCGUGAAUUUUGAUCUUUAUAAGCUUCGUUUUUGGUGCUUUUAGCUGGUUUUGGCUUAUGGGUAUUGCUUAUUUGGUGGUGAAAUGUUCUCUGCAAAUAUAGAAUAAUAGGUUAUGCAUGAUGUUCGAAGGUUCUGGAAUUAGGGGUUCCUGCAGUAUUUAACUUGAAUUUGACUUCUGGGUAUCGGAGGGCUGGUGAAUAUUUGUGAACUUGUCAUAUGUU
Molecule: unclassified non-coding RNA, 305 nt
Filed under: Hevea brasiliensis (rubber tree)
Lineage: Eukaryota; Viridiplantae; Streptophyta; Magnoliopsida; Malpighiales; Euphorbiaceae
Source: RNAcentral